UGGGGGAUAUUGCACAAUGGGGGGAACCCUGAUGCAGCGACGCCGCGUGGGUGAAGAAGCGCCUCGGCGCGUAAAGCCCUGUUAGCAGGGAAGAAAAUGACGGUACCUGAAGAAGAAGCCCCGGCUAACUACGUGCC
This 137-nucleotide ribosomal RNA is filed under the name uncultured bacterium. Its description in RNAcentral is "partial 16S ribosomal RNA". It matches the Rfam family "Bacterial small subunit ribosomal RNA", at positions 355 to 509 of the family's 1533-position model. The record is from RNAcentral.